AUCGAGAUACAUUGUCCGAGAGCCCGUACGAACCUUAGGAAUAGAUAGGAUACAUAUGUCAUGACAUAGGAUUUCCGAUAUGUGUUAUCGUGUAAGACCACGUCUGGGAUGUUGGCAUCGACUUGUGUUUACGUGUAAGACCAUGUCUGGGACAUUGGCAUCGUAUUUGAUUCAUGUAAGACCCUGUCUGGGACAGUGGCAUUGAUAUGUGAUUACAUGUAAGACC
This 226-nucleotide long non-coding RNA is filed under the name Gossypium barbadense (sea-island cotton). Its description in RNAcentral is "long non-coding RNA (GBAR_LNC016976)". The record is from RNAcentral. Lineage: Eukaryota; Viridiplantae; Streptophyta; Magnoliopsida; Malvales; Malvaceae.